This 442-nucleotide ribosomal RNA is filed under the name uncultured Bifidobacterium sp. RNAcentral describes it as "bacterial SSU rRNA". It matches the Rfam family "Bacterial small subunit ribosomal RNA", at positions 187 to 640 of the family's 1533-position model. Lineage: Bacteria; Bacillati; Actinomycetota; Actinomycetes; Bifidobacteriales; Bifidobacteriaceae. The record is from RNAcentral.
CGCAUGGUCCUCUGGGAAAGCUUUUGCGGUAUGGGAUGGGGUCGCGUCUCAUCAGCGUGAUGGCGGGGUAACGGCCCACCAUGGCUUCGACGGGUAGCCGGCCCGAGAGGGCGACCGGCCACAUUGGGACUGAGAUACGGCCCAGACUCCUACGGGAGGCAGCAGUGGGGAAUAUUGCACAAUGGGCGCAAGCCCGAUGCAGCGACGCCGCGUGCGGGAUGACGGCCCUCGGGUUGUAAACCGCUUUUGACUGGGAGCAAGCCCUUCGGGGUGAGUGUACCUUUCGAAUAAGCACCGGCUAACUACGUGCCAGCAGCCGCGGUAAUACGUAGGGUGCAAGCGUUAUCCGGAAUUAUUGGGCGUAAAGGGCUCGUAGGCGGUUCGUCGCGUCCGGUGUGAAAGUCCAUCGCUUAACGGUGGAUCCGCGCCGGGUACGGGCGGG